UCGGGAAAUAUCGAAUAUGGUAAUAAAUUUAAAUUACCACCAGGUAUGGUAAGGCAACCACCCUUUCUCAACCCUCUCCUCUACCAUCCCGUCGCUCUGCAUCCCAGUUCCUGCCCUUCUUCGUUGCCGCUGCCGCAUGGACCCUUUCGAAAUGCUACCAGAGACAGGAAGGUGGAGGAUCCGGUGAAGACGACCACUCGAAAUAUCAACUCGGCGACACGACAGGCUCGCCGCCUCAAACAGAAGGGUAAAUGAGCCAAUACUCGAAAAGAAAUGCGGCAACGGUGUAGGGGGCUGGCGGGGCUUGGGACAUGGGGUGUCAUCGACGCCCAUUCAGACGCCGUCCUGGUCGGACCAAUACAAGCCUCCCUACUUCUACGCGGCCGAGCAGUUCGGCGAGCAGUCCCCAGCAUCCGCCACCAGGCACGUGCCUUAUUGUGUUGACGUCAACGAUGUGCCUCUCCUUUUCUUCUAGUGUGUCGCCGCAAUUUGUCCGGUCGCGGCCGACAGGCAUGGAGCAGCUCGGUACACGACUAGAUGAUCCACAACGAAGGGGUGGGUGGAGGCUUGUAUGAGGACGAGCAGAUGGAUGACUCGGGGUUGGAGGAGCACGCAUAGCAGUCAGAAGUGUACACAUAGUCAGGCAUGUACACCUAGUCGGGCACGUAUAUUGGCCAGACGUAUUCAUACAACGACAAGCAGAGCAGGACGGUGACGGUGGACUUUGAUCCGGACGAAUUUGCGGCCAAUCCAAAGAAAAAGGGUAGAGAAGAAAGCUUCAACAUGCAGGGGGGCGAGUUAUUGGGCGAUGCAUGGUUGGCCACUAGCAUCGAUCUGAUCCAGGGCACAUAGCAAAAAGGUGCAACAUUUUGGGCCAACAUUCAUGUUUGAUUCCAUGAGCACAAGCAUUUCAAUCCCUACUUCCACAAACACAUCAACAACCGUGGGAGGAAGUCACUCAACUAUCGAUGGUACUCCAUCUAAGAGGUCGUGUCCAAGUAUUGUGGCAUUUGAAACAACUAAUCGUUCGAUGGCCAAGUGGUGCGCAAAUCACCGAGCAAGUAAGUUGUUUAUGUGUUAGUCAUUUUGACCGGAUAUGCAACUUGUGGGUCAGAUAUGCUCUAUGUGUUGGUCAUUUGGCUGGAUAUGCAACUUGUUGGCCGGGUAUGCAACUUGAUGACAAUGUUGUUUCUUUCUAGCCUUCUCGUGCAUGCAACUUGUUAUUGAAGGUGGAGAAGAGAAACUUCGGCCUUAUGCAUUGUUGGUUGAAGUUGAGUGGAGUAUAUUCAUUGCCAACACCGUCAAGACCGUCGGCGACGGCUCCGAGGAAAAGCUGGGUUUUCCAACCGACCCAACAAAAGAGCCACCCAAGAAGAUUAGAAGAGGGUUUCGGGGAAAGAACUAGAGGGAGGAGAAGAGAGAAGGGGUGGCGGCCAAGAUGAUGGAGAGGUUUGAGGACAUCUUGAUGAAGAAGGAGGAGGCAUGUGUCAAGCACUAUGACGUCAAGGAGGAAAAAAAGGCCGAGAGGUUUAACAUGUUCAUGACGGCGACCAAGAAGAAUCUCAAACUCGAAGAGAAGACCAUACUCGAAGAGAAGAAGGUUGAGAUCGCGACUGCUUUGGAGGAUUCGAAGAGGUUGACCUUGAAGAUGGACGACUUGAAUGAAGAUGCAAGGAUGAUCAUGCAAGCCGUACAUGUUAGGAUGUUGAAGUGCUUCGCAACCGAGCUUGAGACGUCAGAGAAGGAGGCGACUAGUGAGGAGGAGCCGACGACAGAGUGAGCCUGGAGUCUUAGAUAGCUAGUCCGGCAGGGCAAAAAAAUCCUUUUAGCACGGACUGCCGGGCUGAGAUACUUUUGUGUCUGUCAAAGCUAUGGACGCCGAUCUCUUUUUUUGUGAUUGGCCGUUGUACAUUUGAAUGUUAAAUUAGCCGGAUCUAGACAGACAUGUAGGGGAUGCGGUGCGGUUGGAUGACCAGCUCUCUUAGGGAAACACCAACGCACGACCCCAAACGGACCUUCGUUUUGUUUGGAUUUCAUCCAUUUGGGGCGGCAAAACGGACGCCCGUGUCUGUUUUUGCCCAUUCGCCGGACGUUGUCCCUAACGCGCGGCCGCAUUGCAUCUUGUCCUCAUCGCAUACGAACAUUUUAAAAAUGAAAAACAGGCCGCAAAUGUUAAAACACACACAUAAAACAUAAUUAAAUGUUAACUUUAUGUUCAAACUAGUCCCGGGCGCACAUUUAAACAUAACUUAAACUUAACAAUUUAAGAAAAAGAUAGAUAGACGUCGCCGACGUGGUCGUCUUGGAUGCCCCUGUCCUCGUCUUUGAUCCCGAUGUCAUCUUCACACGUCGCCAUCAUCGUCGUUGUCCAUGGUGAAGUCGACAUAUGGUGGAGGCUGCCAAAGGUGGGCCGAUGGCCCGUGCUAGGGCGGACGCGCCUGCACCACCUCCUCCCAUGGCUCUAGCUCCUUCUCUGGUGACCGUGGCGACAUGGCUGACCAUUGCCUGACACCCACCGCGUCGGCCUUCUCUGGCGUCGUGGACGACGAACUCCACUGUUGGCCCACCAAGCAUCGGUUCCACGCGGCGAUGGGCGGCUCCUACACCACCUCCUCCUGAACCUGUUCCCUGACGGCCAUGUCCAUCUAUGGGAUGGCGAAGUCAUCGGCUGUAGAGAGGGCCACCUGGGUUUCGAGGCCCUCCCAUUGGCGGUCGUCAUAGGUGUUAAUGGAGUCUUUCAUGACCUGCCUCAUGAGCUCGACUCCUCCUCGGUCAUGGGAUGUGGUGGUGGCGGGGACGGCGUUGGCGUGAGGCCACGCACAUGCGUACACCCAGGCGUUUGGGGCAGACUCUGAGCACGAGUAGGACGCGGUCGCCACAAGCUCGGAGGACGACCGACAAAAAAGGAUUGUUGCCGCAGGUCGUGCUCGUCACAGAGCCACGUAUCCCACAUCGGCGAAUCUACUGCGUAUCCGCGGUCGUAGAGCAGAUCCGGUGGCAGGCGGGCGUGGUGACGGCUGAUCUCCUCACGGCGGACGCGGCCGCUCACUGGCACCGGUGGGAUUGACACCCGAUCUGCGGAGAGAUGUCAAUUGUUGGGGAGGUGGGGAUCUCCCCGCGGGAGUGGCGUUGCCGUCUUCCAAUAGCGUCGGCAGAUGUCGGUGCCGACGUAGGGUCGUCUGCGCUACGGGGCGGCCGACGGCGCUAUGGAAAAAGCGGGUGGUGAGGGCGACGCAGACUUUGUGGAGUGGCGGCGACCGGUGGAGGAGUCAGCCUCAUGGUCGUGCUUCCCCUUGCUGGUCCAAUGCCAGCCCAUGGCGCCGGCGAGGAGGUGGAUGAGAGGGAUACGUCGGCGGCUAGGGUUUGUUGACUCCUGUCGGGGCUCGAGGAGGCAGUCGGGCUCGAAAAUGGAAGAUGUGGACUUGCCGGUCCACGAUUUCCACAUUAAGAAGGACGAUGACCGUGCAGUUGGGUGGCUGACAGUUGUGGCCCGCCGCGCGUGCGCAAUUAUUUUGGGUGGUGGAGGUAGGUGGACAGCCGCCACGCGUCCUCGAGGUGGACGAGAAGCAAACACGUGCCCGUCCGUUCGCUGUCUGUCUAGACGCAAACCAGAAGCAAAUUUGCUCUGGAAAUGGGACGGCCCGGACGUGAAACAUACAAUAUUUACGGAUGCGGCCGCGCGUUGGACCGCGACGUCUGUCGUCUGAGACCAAACAGACACACAUGGAUCAGAUGGGGGCGUUUAGAGCAACUUCAACGCACCGAUCCAAACGGACGCACGCUUUAUCUGUCUUUUGUCUGUUUGGGUUGGCCGCCCGCUCGACGUCCGCCCUCUUUUGAUUUGGGUUGGCUGUGCACCCAACGCGCGCGACCCAUUUCAUGUCAACGCAUAAAUUUUAAAAGGCCCGCGACCAUAGCUCAUGCUAUGCCAUCGCCCAAAGUUCAUGCCGACGCCAUGCCAGCGGCCUUCAUACAAUGCCAGCCUCCAAAAAAAAAUCCACCACACAGUUUAUGUUGGCGUACUUGCCAGCGGCCGGCACACAUGCCAGCACACAAAAGGGGCGGGAAUUCGACCACGCCAUCUCAGCCGUGGUCAUGCCAGCACACUUGCCGGCAUAAAAAAAGGAUGGCGUUUUCCGCCAUAGAUCAUGAAUUUGAGCAUGACGGCCUGCAUCUUCUCAAACUAUGGCCUCCCUUCCGUCCGCCGCGUGCCUCCUGUCCUUCCGUUUUGUUGGCUGCACGACCCUCUCCUCGGGCGUCAGCUUCUUCUUCUUGGGCGGCGCCGCGGUCUUGCAGGGCGCGCGGUGAUUUCCUUUCGCGGAGGCGACAGAGGCGAGGUCGGACGAGGCGAGGCCGGCAGCGGCAUCGAGGGUCGAGGCAUCGUCGACCAUGGCUGGGAGCGCGAGCGGGCGGGAGAGUUUUGAGAAAGUGGAGGAAAAUGGUGGUUGCUGUGCCAUCGACUGGCGGGCCAGGGCGAGGAGUAGGCGCGCGUCGCGCGCGUCCGUUUCGUGUCCGCAUCGAUGCAAAUAUGACUCAAAUUUGGGUCGGGAAUGGUUCGGCAGGCGGACGAAAAGCGAACGCGUCCGUUUGGGUUGGCGUGUCGGGUCGACUUUUCUGUCCGUAGCGAUCCAAACAGACGCGCGCGAACGAAAUGGGUCGGCGCGUUGAAAUUGCUCCAGAUCCAAAACGCGGCUCUCUCUUAGUUGUUGCCCUUAUUCAUGUCAGGUCAGUCCGCUCACUAUGCAAGAGGAUGUUACACAAUUACACUGAAAUCUGAUUUCUUCUUUUUCUAUCUGCGCAAGCAUUUUUAGUAAGUUGGUACCUCUGGUUUGAAUAGUGCGUAGUUUUUUUUUUUUGCGAGGUUUAAGAGUAUAUUCUACCAGUACAUUAAGUGACUUUCCUUUGAAAUUGAGCCAGUAAGUAGAAAUCGAAAGUAAACUAAAAAAUGAUGCGCAUCUUCAUUAUUUGCGACAGGCAUUCUAGAAGAUGCUCGAUUUCGUCCGAAUAAUUAUGUGGAAAAUAAAUAAGUAAAGCACCGCCCCCAGUAAAUGCCCCCAAUCCCACCCCCACCCCCUCUCGGCUUGGGGCUUCUCACUUCACCACCGCUCGCGUCGUCCCCCGCUGGCGAUUUCGUCUGCCCGUUGCCCCCUCCGAGUUCGUCGCCGUCGCCGUCGCCCCCUGCUGGCGAGUUAGUCGCCGUCGCCACCUCCAAACUUGUCUCCAUCGCCGUCGCUCCUUCAGCGCGCCUGCCGCUGCCACUUGAUCUGGCUAUGGAGCAUCUUCAGGACAUGGCUUCUGUCAUGUAUGAUGAUAUACCACCAGAUGCUUUAAUGCCAAAGUCCCACUACAUGUUUUUAAGUACCCUGACAACGAGGUUAUCCCGUUCUCAUGGAGCGUGAGAACUCAGGAAGGAGGCUCUACUAAAUGGAUCAGGGCUUCAAAAUUUGACCCUUUUGUCGCUAGUUGCAGAACUUAUGGACGGACAGAAGCUGCCCCUAUAUUGCCUUCUUCUCUUCAUGUCACGGUGAUGGUGUAUAUGCCUCUUCAUGAUGCCUAUCAACUGCAUGGGCUUAUGCAGGAUUCAGAUAUAUUACCUGUUGGGAAGUUGACGGUUGAUGCUCAACCUCAAGUCGAACCAUAUGUACUGCCAAUGGAAGUGGAGAUGCAAUGCCCUGAUGAGAAGGUGGGAUACAUUCAACCUAAUGCUGAGCAUGAUCUGAGUAUCGGUUUCACAGUUGUCAACUAUAACCUUCUCUGGUCCAAGGCAAAUCAAUACUUACAGAGGUUCAUCAAUGACAUUGAUAUAUGCACCGAUGUACUUGCUGGUAGACCAUCACCAGAUCUUGAAAGUUUGGAGGCUGCUUUGGAUGAUGCUAAAAAGAUGCUUAUCUUUAUCAUGUACAAUAGGAACAUUCCAGAGGCACACAACGUCUUACUGGAAAUGUUUCCUGAAGUACACAAUACUGUUCACUUGGACUGUCAACAUUGCCAACACCCAGAUGCUGCUGUUGUGCAUGAAGAUUCCCCUGAGACUGUUGCGAGGCUGAAUGAAGCACUUGAAAAUCUCGGAUAUCAAGAUUAUGAUCUCCAUCACUCUGUCGAAGCUGCACAGUAUAAUCUGAUGGCUGUUAAGGGUAGACUGGAAUAUGGCAAACACUACCAAAGUGCGUCAGUUGCUUUUGCACUUGCAAGGAAAGAGUUUAGUGAUGCUCUGAAGCCCAUCAUCCACAAUAUGACAAUGGCCGUGAAGAAGCUGACGUUAAUGGGAGUCCCAAGUGAUGGUGAAGAUGGGCUUUUCGAACUGAACUGAGCCUAGUGUCAAGCAAACAUGAGUAGAUGACCACUGAAGGAGGUGUAUCUGAAUGGGUUGUGUCCCAUUUCAUAUUGUCUGCAGUUUUGUUCUCAUUUUAAAUCAGUAAUAACAGAGUUGGCAGCCAUAAGAGAAUUGAAUCACAAUGUACUUCCUCUAUCAAAAUAUAAGAUGUUUUUUGACUGUAAAAAAACGUCUUAUAUUUUGAUAUGCAGGUUGUAGUUCCGGAACAAAUACAAGGGCCUCUUGAUACAUGUGCUGGUAGUAAUUUUGCAGUUCCUUAUCAUGUUCGUAGGGAGUUCUUAAUGCAAACGGAAGUGUAUGGUAGUCGUUUCACAGUUCUAGCAUGCUUUAGGAAGCAAAAUAGUUCUUACUGCAGUUCUCAUCAAACUUAAAAUUUCAUGUACUUUCAUAUCAUAUUAUGUAUGAGACUAGUAAGUGGUAAGAAUCAUUUUUUUUCCUUUU
RNA transcript from Triticum dicoccoides, 6775 nucleotides. RefSeq lists it as uncharacterized. The transcript is spliced from 4 exons. Lineage: Eukaryota; Viridiplantae; Streptophyta; Magnoliopsida; Poales; Poaceae. The record is from RefSeq and is a predicted model, not a curated record.